RNAcentral lists this ribosomal RNA (409 nucleotides) under uncultured soil bacterium. RNAcentral's name for it is "bacterial SSU rRNA". It matches the Rfam family "Bacterial small subunit ribosomal RNA", at positions 988 to 1386 of the family's 1533-position model. The record is from RNAcentral.
GCAGUACUGUCUACCGUGUGAGCGUGUGACCCUUCGGGGAAUUUGCACAGGUGCUGCAUGGCCGUCGUCAGCUCGUGUCGUGAGAUGUUGGGUUAAGUCCCGCAACGAGCGCAACCCUUGUGAUUAGUUGCCAGCGCGUCAUGGCGGGAACUCUAAUCAGACUGCCCAGAUCAACUGGGAGGAAGGUGGGGACGACGUCAGGUCAGUAUGGCCCUUACGCCCAGGGCUGCACACGUACUACAAUGCCCAGUACAAUGAGAACCGAUGCCGCGAGGUGGAGGAAAUCUGUAAAACUGGGCCCAGUUCGGAUUGGAGGCUGCAACUCGCCUCCAUGAAGUUGGAAUCGCUAGUAAUGGCGCAUCAUCUACGGCGCCGUGAAUACGUUCCCGGGUCUUGUACCCACGCAAAA